ACGGAAGGCAGCAGUGGGGAAUAUUGGGCAAUGGGCGAAAGCCUGACCCAGCAACGCCGCGUGAAGGAAGAAGGUCUUCGGAUUGUAAACUUCUUUUAUGUGGGACGAACAAAUGACGGUACCACAUGAAUAAGCCACGGCUAACUACGUGCCAGCAGCCGCGGUAAUACGUAGGUGGCAAGCGUUAUCCGGAUUUACUGGGUGUAAAGGGCGCGUAGGCGGGGAAGCAAGUCAGAUGUGAAAUCCAUGGGCUCAACCCAUGAACUGCAUUUGAAACUGUAGCCCUUGAGUAUCGGAGAGGCAAGCGGAAUUCCUAGUGUAGCGGUGAAAUGCGUAGAUAUUAGGAGGAACACCAGUGGCGAAGGCGGCUUGCUGGACGACAACUGACGCUGAGGCGCGAAAGCGUGGGGAGCAAACAGGAUUAGAUACCCUGGUA
RNAcentral lists this ribosomal RNA (436 nucleotides) under uncultured Sporobacter sp. Its description in RNAcentral is "partial 16S ribosomal RNA". It matches the Rfam family "Bacterial small subunit ribosomal RNA", at positions 341 to 792 of the family's 1533-position model. Lineage: Bacteria; Bacillati; Bacillota; Clostridia; Eubacteriales; Oscillospiraceae. The record is from RNAcentral.